RNAcentral lists this ribosomal RNA (502 nucleotides) under uncultured bacterium. RNAcentral describes it as "bacterial SSU rRNA". It matches the Rfam family "Bacterial small subunit ribosomal RNA", at positions 62 to 543 of the family's 1533-position model. The record is from RNAcentral.
UCGAACGCGAAAGUGGAGCAAUCCAUGAGUAGAGUGGCAAACGGGUGAGUAACGCGUGGGCGACCUACCUCGAAGUGGGGGAUAACCUUCCGAAAGGAGGGCUAAUACCGCAUGACAUCCCGUGUUUGGAUACACGGACAUCAAAGCCGGGGAUCGCAAGACCUGGCGCUUGGAGAGGGGCCCGCGUCCGAUUAGCUAGUUGGUGAGGUGACGGCUCACCAAGGCUCCGAUCGGUAUCCGGCCUGAGAGGGCGGACGGACACACUGGAACUGAGACACGGUCCAGACUCCUACGGGAGGCAGCAGUGGGGAAUUGUUCGCAAUGGGCGCAAGCCUGACGACGCAACGCCGCGUGGAGGAUGAAGACUUUCGGGUCGUAAACUCCUUUCGACCGAGAUGAAUGUCCCGCGACCUAAUACGUCGCGGGAGUGACAGUAUCGAGGGAAGAAGCCCCGGCUAACUCCGUGCCAGCAGCCGCGGUAAUACGGGGGGGGCAAGCGUUG